UACGUAGGCAGCGAGCGUUGUUCGGAGUUACUGGGCGUAAAGGGUGUGUAGGCGGUUUUCUAAGUCUGGUGCGAAAUCUCCCGGCUCAACUGGGAGGGUGCGCCGAAAACUGGAAGGCUAGAGUGCGGGAUGGGUAAGUGGAAUUCCUGGUGUAGCGGUGAAAUGCGUAGAUAUCUGGAGGAACACCGGUGGCGAAGGCGGCGUCCUGGGUAGAUACUGACGCUGAGGUGCGAAAGCGUGGGGAGCAAACAGG
This 253-nucleotide ribosomal RNA is filed under the name uncultured bacterium. RNAcentral describes it as "partial 16S ribosomal RNA". It matches the Rfam family "Bacterial small subunit ribosomal RNA", at positions 524 to 776 of the family's 1533-position model. The record is from RNAcentral.